GUUGAGCAUUUAUCUCUGUGUCAACGAUAUGGUGGAAGCAUACAAUACACGUCAAUUACACGUAAAAUCUCAAUUCCGAACAAAAAAAAUCUCAAUUAAAGGAGGAUUACAAUAUUGAGAAAUAUUUUUUUAUAACUACUAAUGACUUGUUAGGAAGUGCUUUUAAAAUGACAAAGUGCUUUUAGAGAAAAUGUUUUUAGUUUGUUACAGGCAAGGAAGAAAAUAUCGGUAAUAUCGGAAAUAUCGGUAGUCCGAAAACACGGAAAUAUCGAUGGAAAUAUCGGUAAAAUAUCGAUAUCGAUAAAAAUUACAUGGAAACCACGGAAAUUGUAAGAAAAACUUGGAAAUUUUUAUUGAAACUUUGUAGAAUGUUUAUUUAGUCAAUUAUCUAUUAGUUUAUCACAAAAAAUUGGAUGGAAAUGCAUUGCAUGAUGGAUUUAACAUUAUCAAGUUGAUUAUAUAGCGAUCUGACAAACAUUGUGAAUGUAGAAAAUAUGUAGUAAUUAAUGAAAGAAGUCUAAACACACCAUAAUCAUUUAUAUAUAAUGAAUUAGUACAUUGUGAGUAUAUUCAUGAGGUGAGUCAGAUGGGGUCACUCAACCACAGAGGCACACACACACACAGACAUGCCAUCACACACGCACACAUAUCUCACACGCAUACGGCUCUCUCUCUCUCUCUCUCUCUCUCUCUCUCUCUCUCUCAUUCUCGAUCCUUCUCUCUUCUUCUCUGAGUCUGAGGCGUCGGACCUCUCUUCUCCCCCUUCUCCAUUCGACCCACACACACACAGAUCUCCCCCUUCUCGAUCCUUCUCUCUUCUUCUCUGAGACCCUCGAUCCUUCUCUCUUCUUCUCUGAGGCCUGACCUCUCUUUUCCCCUUUCUCCAUUCGACCCACACACACACAGAUCUCCCCAUUCUCCCACUCUCUCGAUCCUUCGCCCACUCUCUCGAUCCUUCGCUGCCGUUGAUCGUGGCUCUGGCAAAGUCGGACUUGGCUCAGUCGUCUCUGGUGGUGCGCCGCUGAGCAAGGAGUUGGCCCAGUCAUCGAUUUUUCAGGUGAGAUUCCAUUGAAACCCUAAGCCCUAAACUGACAUCACAUAUGUUGAAUCGUUGAUGCAUGCGUGAAAUUUGAAGCUUAUAUGUGAAAUUGAAGUUAAAAAUCAUGUUUUUGCAAGGUUUUUGGGACGAAAUCGGCUCGGGAAUAGGCACACCAUCUCCGGCGUUCUUCUCCGGCGUUCGAUAUCGGAGUCCGAUUGCAUCGUUCAACAAAAUAUCUCGAUAUCGAUAAUAUCGCGAUAUUUUGACGAAAACCACACGGAUACCUAUUUAAAUAUCCAUUCCCCGAAAAUCGAUAUUAUCGGCGAUAUUUCACCGAUAAUAUCGAUAUUUAAAUCCUUGGUUACAGGAAGCACUUCAAGUGUUUUUCAAGGAUUCACUUUCAUUUUUACAAAAAAUUGGUUCCAAAAACAUUUUCACCAAAAACACUUUCAGCCAUUUUAAAAGCACUUCCAAACAAACCCUAAAUUUAUAGUAGGAUUUUCCGAACCAAACAAAGUCAAGUGUGAUAUCGUUCUAGAAUACUGUAAUUGAAAUCGAAAAAGUAUAAAAGGAAAGGAAAUUAUUGUUAGCACUCCAAAAAUCUCAUUCUACACCUUUCAUAAGUGUAUUUUUCUUUCUAAAUAAAAAGUUUGGAUAUCAAAACUAGAUUUUUUGAGUGCCAAUAACAAGUAUCGAAAAGGAAUUGUGGUAGAAAUUACAAUAGGCUAUAAUUAUUAAAUAAAUAAUAAUAAAAAACACAAUCAUGAUUAAAUAAAGGUGUGUAGGAUUAAAAAAAAUGUAUUUUAUUAUUUCUCUAUUGAAAAUUGGGUCAAUUCCUGAAAUUGUCAUAAUAUGUGUCUCCUUCUUCAUGUUCAACAAACGAAAGGACUACUACGGUGUUACACCCACCCUUAAUUUAAAUUGUAUUUUCACUAAGUUUGAGAUUAUCUUUCUUUUAAAAUUGUUUUGGUCUUCAAGGGUGGGUCUAAUCUGACACGCCCUGAUUCUGAUAUUCCACGAACACCA
RNAcentral lists this long non-coding RNA (2065 nucleotides) under Malus domestica (apple). Its description in RNAcentral is "long non-coding RNA (MDOM_LNC004981)". The record is from RNAcentral. Lineage: Eukaryota; Viridiplantae; Streptophyta; Magnoliopsida; Rosales; Rosaceae.